GAUGAACGCUGGCGGCGUGCCUAAUACAUGCAAGUCGAGCGAACGGACGAGAAGCUUGCUUCUCUGAUGUUAGCGGCGGACGGGUGAGUAACACGUGUAUCACCUCCCUAUCAUACUGGGAUAACUUCGGGAAACCGUAGCUAAUACCGGAUAAUAUUUUGAACCGCAUGGUUCAAAAGUGAAAGACGGUCUUGCUGUCACUUAUAGAUGGAUCCGCGCUGCAUUAGCUAGUUGGUAAGGUAACGGCUUACCAAGGGAACUAUGCAUAGCCGACCUGAGAGGGGGAUCGGCCACACUGGAACUGAGACACGGUCCAGACUCCUACGGGAGGCAGCAGUAGGGAAUCUUCCGCAAUAGGCGAAAGCCUGACGGAGCAACGCCGCGUGAGUGAUGAAGGUCUUCGGAGCGUAAAACUCUGUUAUUAGGGAAGAACAUAUGUGUAAGUAACUGUGCACAUCUUGACGGUACCUAAUCAGAAAGCCACGGCUAACUACGUG
RNAcentral lists this ribosomal RNA (497 nucleotides) under uncultured bacterium. Its description in RNAcentral is "partial 16S ribosomal RNA". It matches the Rfam family "Bacterial small subunit ribosomal RNA", at positions 28 to 507 of the family's 1533-position model. The record is from RNAcentral.